AGAGUUUGAUCCUGGCUCAGGAUGAACGCUAGCGGGAGGCUUAACACAUGCAAGUCGAGGGGUAAGGAGAUAGCAAUAUUUCCCUAGACCGGCGCACGGGUGAGUAACGCGUAUGCAACCUGCCCUUUACAGGGGGAUAGCCCGGAGAAAUCCGGAUUAAUACCCCAUAGUCCUGUUGGAUCGCAUGGUUUGACAGGUAAAGCUGCGGCGGUAAAGGAUGGGCAUGCGUGACAUUAGCUUGUUGGCGGGGUAACGGCCCACCAAGGCUACGAUGUCUAGGGGUUCUGAGAGGAAGGUCCCCCACACUGGUACUGAGACACGGACCAGACUCCUACGGGAGGCAGCAGUGAGGAAUAUUGGUCAAUGGGCGAGAGCCUGAACCAGCCAUCCCGCGUGCAGGAAGAAGGCCCUAUGGGUUGUAAACUGCUUUUGUGCAAGAAUAAAAGUAUCCUCGUGAGGGUAUUUGAAGGUAUUGCGUGAAUAAGCACCGGCUAACUCCGUGCCAGCAGCCGCGGUAAUACGGAGGGUGCAAGCGUUAUCCGGAUUUAUUGGGUUUAAAGGGUGCGUAGGCGGUAUUAUAAGUCAGUGGUGAAAUGUUGCAGCUUAACUGUAGAAUUGCCAUUGAAACUGUAGUACUUGAGUUAUCUUGAGGUAGGCGGAAUGUGUAGUGUAGCGGUGAAAUGCUUAGAUAUUACACAGAACACCGAUUGCGAAGGCAGCUUACUAAGGAUAAACUGACGCUCAGGCACGAAAGCGUGGGGAUCGAACAGGAUUAGAUACCCUGGUAGUCC
This 791-nucleotide ribosomal RNA is filed under the name uncultured bacterium. Its description in RNAcentral is "bacterial SSU rRNA". It matches the Rfam family "Bacterial small subunit ribosomal RNA", at positions 8 to 796 of the family's 1533-position model. The record is from RNAcentral.